RNAcentral lists this long non-coding RNA (3458 nucleotides) under Homo sapiens (human). RNAcentral's name for it is "HSALNT0230835". The record is from RNAcentral. Lineage: Eukaryota; Metazoa; Chordata; Mammalia; Primates; Hominidae.
ACGGAAUUUAAAGGUUUUCAUUAACUCCUAGUAAAGUGGUACAGUCAAAAGAGUGGACGCAACUUGCAAAUUUCAGUCGCGCUUUUGUAAUAAGGGUCAGUCUGCUGGGAGAAUUACACUAUUCUUAUAAUAUCCAUUUCAGUCUUCACUCCCCUAAUUACUCUCAUUAGACCUCAGAAUCUACCUCCUCUCCAAUAAAUCCACACUCCAAGCAGUCUACUGAAGCUGGCAGCCCACAGAGACCUGACUGCCCACAGUUCAGUGCAAAGACAGGCUUGAAAGCUUGCCCCAAAACAGUCCCUCCCCAAGAUUUCUCCUGCCUUCUUUCUUCCCUAAUCAACUUGGUGAGCUCUCUCCUUUCUUUUUAUACAUCUGAGGCUUAUCUCUGAAAUAUUUCCUAAACAAAGAGAUUAGCGUCAUCAUCAUGCCCAUUUAAGGACAUCUUUUAAGUCCUCUUCACAAAUAGUGUAAUUUUCAUCCUACUUCUAAAUUCUCUCUCCUGCCUCUGGAACACAUUCCCCAUAUAUUCCCUGAGUUCUUCCUCAAGGGACUGGGCUGGUAGCUUUACAAUAAAUUUUCUACUUUCCCUUAGGAGCUCGUUCAUGUCCACAUUCUCUUUCUGCAGGGCAGAAUGUUCCACCAGGGAAUGCCAAGUUGAUUCUGUCUCCCUCAGAAAACUCCAUUCCUCCUGACAACUGGUUCCCAAUCCUGGUUGCACAGUCACAAGGAGUGGGGACUAUGAAAAAGUGUGCCAACCCUUGAAUCUGACAAGGAAGAUCAGUGAUGUCAUAACAGCAUUGUUUGGAUAUCAGCAUGCAUAUCCACCCAUGGGGUUCUGAAACAGAAAUGCAUAAGGAGCUUUGACAAGGACCCACUGUCUGGCCCCAUCUUCAGAGAUUCCAAUAGGUCUGGGGUGUGCACAGGCACUGGCGUCUUUAAAAUCUCCCUGUGUGAAUUCAACAUGCAACCAGGAUUGAAUGGAGAACUGCUGCUCGAAGUUUGAUAAUGAGGUGAUAAUGAGGAAGAACAUGCCUCAGCAAGUCAGAAAAAGGGGCUUAGGGGAGGGCCAGUGGCUCCUCCUUCGGCCAGGCCAGCUUUCUUCUGACAAGGACUUGUUUUCACAACUGUCCAGAUCCGCAGAUGGGCACAAGGUAUGUACUGUCGCCGUCACGGUAACAGACCCAAACAGAGUCACAAGGAGUGGCGACUAUGAAAAAGUGUGCCAACCCUUGAAUCUGACAAGGAAGAUCAGUGAUGUCAGAACAGCAUUGUUUGGAUAUAAGCACGCAUAUCCACCCAUGGGGUUCUGAAACAGAAAUGUUCUUCAAUGUAUUGUCAAUACCAGUAUUACCAACUCAGACCAUUCUAGCUUUCCUAUCAUGGCACAUUAAGUGACUUAAACUCCAAAUAAUUUCCAAGGAAGGUUGAUCUGUUACCUAAAAGAAGACUAAAGUAGGAAUUUCAAUACACAGUACAUCGUGCGACCAUUCCUCUGGUUAUCACAAAAAAGUAAAAUAUUUAACUGCCUCUGUGGAAGCUGUGGUAGAAUGGGACACACUACUGGCCAGGUGUGGUGGCUCACGCCUAUAAUCCCAGCACUUUGGGAGGCCCAGGCAGGCAGAUCACUUGAGGUCAGGAGUUUGAGACCAGCCUGGUCAACAUGGUGAAACCCUGUCUCUACUAAAAACACAAAAAAAUUAGCCAGGCAUGGUGGUGCACGCCUGUAAUUCCAGCUACUUGGGAGGCUGAGGCAGGAGAAUCGCUGGAACCUGAAAGACAGAGAUUGCAGCGAGCCGACAUCACACCACUGCACUCCAACUGGGGCGACAGAGCGAGACUCCAUCUCAAAAAAAAGAAAAAAGAAUGGGACACACUACUCCUUAGGCAACAGUGUUGGGUUCAUGUUUAUAGAUGAUGGAAUGAAGCAGCGGGGGACAACUUCUGGCUGGAGUGGCUUGGAGGCUGGAGCAGCUGAGCUUUAACAAGCAUCAGAGGUCAGAAUUACUUGGCUAGAUCAAGAAGCCACACAGCAUCAUAAUGCCGCUGGCACAUCUCCCAGAACAGGUUGGUUGAAUCCAUGGAUGAGAAACCUGCAGAUACCGAGGGCUGGCUUCAUUUAGAUUCCUAAUCAUUCCUCCAGGAUUCUGGGGCCAACAGUGAAUAAACCUGGUAAAAGGACACGAAUUCUGAGGUAAGCCCCCAACCUACUUUCCAGACUUCUCUCUGAAUCAUAUUAUCAAUACAUAUGUAGACGACACUCUGUUCCUCACAUUUCAUUUCCUCCCAGACACAAGCCACCCAGCACACUUCACCAUAAGACUGUCCAAUUUGGAAUAGAUCUAGUCAAAUGAACGCUAUUAUAGCUCCCUACACUUUAAACACAUCCUUACGCAACUCUAAUACAGUUUGUUUGACACAUCACCAGGCCCUGAUGAAGGUGCUCUGGGGUGUGAUUUCAGAGAUUCCAGGAAAGGCUCCUCUGGGUUACCUCAGUGGCUUUUCCAAACCUAUGCUGUUGUGUUACGCUGUUUAGUGCAAAUGUUAACUGGGUUGGGGGCACAUCUACAGAUGGGGCUGGGAUGUAUCCCUCAAGCAUCAGAGAACUGAGAAAAGGUGGAGAACUCUUGAUCUAGGGCCUGGGCCUCUGUUCAAGAGGCUGCCACAGGGAAUGUCUUAGGCUACUGGAGGGCCACACCAGAAGGCCGUGGGGGCUGGAUCUGAGAGAGCAGCUAAAGGAAAAAUAGGGUAUAAGAAUGGAGGAACAUGAGAGUCACACCUCACAACCUUGCCCAGGCCUGGUCUUAACCUGCAAACUCCUUAUAGGUAGAGGCAGGGCUGCUUUAACAAACAUUUCUUACCUACAACCCACUAUCCUGCCUGGCAUUCAUUAAGCAUUAGUUAAAUAAUGAUUAAGCAUCCUAGAAAGUGGCCUGGCAACUGCAGCCUAUUCCCCACUUCAGGGAGAAAGAUACUACAUGCAGAAGAGGCUUUACUUUUCUGAAAAGGAUGUUUACUUCUGCUCUCAGCUUUUGGCAAUUGGAAGAUAACAUGGUUUAGUACAAAAAAACAUAUGCACUGAGAUCAGAAAGACUGAGUUAAACACAAACUACAAUACCUCAAGCCCCUUAAACCUCAGCUUUAAUAACAGAAAAACAGGAAUAAUCCCCAUCUUGCCAGGAUUUAGGUAGAAUGACUUAAUGGUGCUCAAUAAACAGCUACCGUGGCUCCUACAAAAAUGAGAGGGGCCUGAAAGAAGACAGCGAAGCUGGAAAUAAGAUCCCUCAGGGCUGAAAUAAGAAUUUUAGGAUUCUUUUUUUUAAAAAAAGAGCAUAUGCAUGUCAAAAUAUCACAAUAUGAGGCUGGGUGCACUGGCUCCUCUUGUAAUCCCAGCACAUCGAGAGGAAAAGGAGGGUUAAUCACUUGAGGCCAGGAAUUUGAGACCAGCUUGGGCAACAUGG